RNAcentral lists this transfer RNA (79 nucleotides) under Podarcis lilfordi (Lilford's wall lizard). RNAcentral's name for it is "tRNA.Ile". Lineage: Eukaryota; Metazoa; Chordata; Lepidosauria; Squamata; Lacertidae. The record is from RNAcentral.
GCCAUAGGUGGAUAGCUCAGUUGGUUAGAUAGUGGUGCUGAUAAUGCUAAGGUUGCAGGUUCGAUCCCUGGAUGGGGCA